GCAUUGCAGGGAAGUAUGCUUCCUGAGUCAGAACUUGGACCAGGUCAGGUCAUUCGUUUGCCUGCCAUCUCAGGAGACAGGGAGUUCUGGAAAGCCCAAGCGCUGGUUGUCAGGAAGGUUUGGAUUCGAAAUUCAGCUCUGGCUCUGACGAGCUCCGGGACCUUCUACAGCUCGCCAAGCAUCUCCCGACAUCAGCUUCUCUGGACACCACUGGGUGGGGCACAGAUGUGGCUCCAGUGGGCCGUGCCCGACACGUGGAGGAAGGAAGCUCGGUGAGUGGCCCGUGUGCGUGGUGUGCGCCGCGGCCGCCGCGUGAGCAGGUGCUGUCUGGGGACCGUCGGUGCACCGAGCAGGAAGCAGGAGGCCCGCCCCACCUCCCCGCUUCCAGGACCCGCGGGGUCCCUUCUCAGGGCUUUUCUGGGGAAAACUUCAGCCCAGAGAACCAUGCGCUAUGCAAACAUCCCUGCCGAGGCUUCCGGAAGCGUCCUUAGGGUCAGGAGAGAGAGAGAGGGAGAGAGGGCCUCCUUUUCUGAGGGAAGACACCCCUGCACCCCCUUCCCGCUGACUCGGGCCGUGGGGUGACGUCCCCCAGGAGAAGGCCCAUCUCAUCCGCCGCGAGAAACGUCUGCGGGGCUCUGAGCGGCCUUUCUUCAGCCUGGCCUGACGACCGCCGUCUCAGCCUGGCCGGCCCGCCACGACGCCACUCUCGACCCUAAUUAACCCCGACCCUCAUUAACCCGGGCCUCAGCCAGCCCCGAGCUGGACCUGGGGAGGUUUGACGUGGGCGUCAGAGACAGAGAAAUGCAAGGCUCCCAGGCCAAGACCCUGCAGGGAGGAGCUGGCGGGCGCGGGGGCAGCGGACGUGCAAGUCGCCACCCGCCAGGUCACAAAGGAGGCGCUGCGCCAGGUGGGUGCCGCCUGAGCGGCGGGUGGGAUGCCCAGCCGAGUCCUGAGCAUGUGGAGAAGGGUGUGGGAUCCGUGCUCAGGCCCCUCCCCAGCUCCCUCCCAAGCAGGGCCAUUAAAACCUCUUCUGGCCUCCAGAUGCGCGCCUGCAAGCUAUUUCCCUUUUGUUGUUUCAAGCCGGGGCCUUGAUCUUUUGCCACUUUGGAAGAAGCGGAGAAACAAAGAGGUCUGGUGCUGUUGCUUAACAGCGAGCCUGGCUUCCCGCGCAGGGCCAGCAUUCCUCCGACCUCCGUGCCACCCCUGUGAUGGCGGCAGGCCCGAGAUCUGCGGGGAAGGGGCCGUGAGCUCCCUGGCCCCAGCGCCAGCGCUCGCAGCGCCCUCUCCUGCGUCCGGUGCUCUCCUGGCCGGCCUCUGAAGUCUUCCUUCUUGCCGCGGCCGCUAGAAAGCAAGUGGUGAGAAGGAUGAGGUGACGCGGGGCUGCGGGGUGUGCCCGAGAGCACCUGGGGCUGCCGGGCCCUGGCUCCCACUUCACUUUGCAGGGGACCAGACGUCCCGGACCAGCCCUGGGUGCCCCGUGGCGUGCUGGAAAGAGCCCUGCGCUAGGAGUCGUGGACCGCCUUCCACCAGGCGGGCAGGGCCUGCUUGGCUUGUUGGCCACUGUGCCCUGGCUCCAAACACAAGGCUGGUCCAGCGGGGGACACGGCAGCCACUUGCUGAGGGCGGAAAUUCCAGCUCUGCCACAGGGGGCCCGCAGGACCCUGGCCAUGCCAACCAUUCUUUCACUCCUUCACAUCCUCAUUCAUUCUCGCAUCCCACCAACACACGGAGAGCCUGCCCCGGGCCCUGUAAUUAGGCAACAAGAGCUGCGACAGGCUCUGACAGUGGGACGUCAGAGUGUCCACUCCGCCAGAGGAGCCCGCAGGCUGACGCCUGAAGGAUGGAGAGAGGCUGCUCGGGCAAAGGAAGAGGGCAGACCCGUCCAGGUGGGGGACGGAGCCUGCAGGAACCUGGAGACACAGGAGAGGGGCCACCUGGGGCCCUGAGGGACUUGGUCCAUGAGAAGAAAAGUGCCAACAGGAGGAAUGGAGAUGUGAUGACAGCAGUGGAGGCCCAGCCCCACGAGGGGGUGUGGCUUAUCCUGGGGGUCCUGGGAGUGACACAGGGCUUCCGGCAGGGAGUGCAACCCAGCUGGGAAGCCUGAAGGGCGGACUAGAUGGGGACUGUGGGCAGGCAGCCAAGGCAGGGGCCACCACACCCUGGAACAGCAGCGAGGGCCCCGGGGGAAGCAGGCAGAGGCAGCUCUGGGAACUAGCGGGAAGAACAAGUGGGACUUGAGAUUAGACAGGGACAAGUGACAGCCAUGCCACCAGCUCCCUCCAGAGCACGUUGUGGAGCGGGGGUGGGGGAGGGACCCAGCUUGGCAGUGUUCAGGGUGAGACAGAAACAGGGGGUGGUCUGGGCUAGAGGCUGGGAGGGGCCUGAAGCCACCUGAACUCGGGAAGCAGAGGCGGAGCACCGAGAGGAUCCAGGGAAGCAUCCACAGCCAAGCGCCAGACUAAGACGUGGAGAGGCGGGCGGAACGCCAGGGCAGGUCCUGGGGUGGCCAGGCCAUCCUGAGGAAACACAGUCACCUGAUCAGGCCCCCUGCUGCUGGAGGAGGGGCAGGUCCCCAGCCCUACGGGCACAGGCGCCCUCACUGCAGACCGGCUCCCGCCCAGAAACACUCCUUCCACCUCAGUCCCUGCAAGCCUGCUCCUCACCCCAGGCUGUGCUGGUCCUGGGGGGCUCACUUCUCUGAGCCUGCGGAGAGGCAGCCCCAUGCAGUGGGAGCCACGAAAACAGCUUUCUUUCCAGAUGCCUUUCCAGGUGUGUCUGCACAAAGCACCACCACUUUCAGAUGAAGAGGGCAGAGCCCUGGGCUGGGGAGUGAAAGGCCUGGGUCAAGCUUUAGCUCUGCCUCUGGGGCAGCAGUACCCUCUUCUCUUGCCUCAUCUGCCCCACUGGGCAGUGGAUAUAACGCCUGGGUGCCCCCACAGGGGGCGGAUGAGUAUCAGCAGGGUGCCAAAGGAACGUCUCAGGCACUGUCGGCGUAACAUGAACAUAAAGAUUGUAUCGUCACCAUCACUGCCACCACCGCCGCCGCCGCCACCGCCACCGCCAUCACCACCGCCACCACUGCUACCAUCAUCAAUCCUGCACUUGAAGUCCUGCCACCUGCCAAGGGGUCCUCCUAUGGCAGAGAACACACCACCAUCUGAGAGUCUCCAGAGCUGGGUGGACAUUCCAGUGACGUGAGAGCUCUGACACGAGAGUUUAGUGUCAUCUGGGCUACAGACGGGCCGCUGCGAACAGACCGAGGAUAAGAGACUCCCUGUCCGUGGGCUCUGAUAAAUCCCAGGAACGGGGCAGGGUUUUGCUUCAUCCUGGAUCCAGAAGAAAAAAAUGACCUAAUAAUGCAUACGCACAAUUUAUAUGCGUUCUUACAUAAAUCACACCCCAAAACACCAAAAAGAUAGAGAACGUGACGAAGGAUCCUGAAAUCGGGAAAAGCCCCAACCUCGCGACGGAGGCCCUGGAGGAAAGCAGCUGGGGACGUGGACAAAGAGCCCAGGGCCAGCGGGGGAGAAGGGGCCCGUCAGAGGCCCAGGCGUAGAGGACACAGGCUUUUGCCCUGGUCGAUGCCCUCGGAGGGCAGCGUCACCUGGGUCUUCCAUUAGCCCCGAGCCGGUGAGAGCAAAGGGCCCCGUCCUCUGCGCACAGGACCGGGCAGUGAGGGGUCAGAAACACGAGGACUUUACUGGACUCGAAGGAAGAUGUGACCCCAGACGCUGGAGGACUUUGGGACAUGCGGGAGGCGGAUAGUUGAGGACUUUUUCCUUUUUUUCCAGCUUAUUUUUGCUUUAAAAUUGUCUUGUUUCUAUAGACUUGUGGUUGCCAAGAGGUGGGGAGGAAUGGGUUGGGGGUUUGGGAUUCGGAGAUGCAAACUAUGAUUAGAGCACAGGGAGCUGUAUUCAGGGUCCUGUAAUAA
Molecule: long non-coding RNA, 3931 nt
Filed under: Sus scrofa (pig)
Lineage: Eukaryota; Metazoa; Chordata; Mammalia; Artiodactyla; Suidae
Description: lncRNA (ENSSSCG00050038877.1)
Source: RNAcentral